UACGAAGGGGGCUAGCGUUGCUCGGAAUCACUGGGCGUAAAGCGCACGUAGGCGGCUUUCUAAGUCAGGGGUGAAAUCCUGGAGCUCAACUCCAGAACUGCCUUUGAUACUGGAGAGCUUGAGUCCGGAAGAGGUGAGUGGAACUCCGAGUGUAGAGGUGAAAUUCGUAGAUAUUCGGAAGAACACCAGUGGCGAAGGCAGCUCGCUGGGACGGUACUGACGCUGAGACGCGAAAGCGUGGGGAGCAAACAGG
This 253-nucleotide ribosomal RNA is filed under the name uncultured bacterium. Its description in RNAcentral is "partial 16S ribosomal RNA". It matches the Rfam family "Bacterial small subunit ribosomal RNA", at positions 524 to 776 of the family's 1533-position model. The record is from RNAcentral.